Molecule: non-coding RNA, 550 nt
Organism: Drosophila suzukii
Lineage: Eukaryota; Metazoa; Arthropoda; Insecta; Diptera; Drosophilidae
Source: RefSeq, a predicted model, not a curated record
AUAGGGUGCUCCCCUUACAAAGCCUUAUUCGGGAUGAAUAUGAUCAAUCACGGGGAUGACUAUAAACUAUUAAAGGAAAUGUCGAUAUUGGAAGAGUCACCUAGGUUAGAGCGCGAGGAUCACCUGCAGUCAUUUCAGAAACAAUUUCAAUAAAAAGUUGGCUUCCCAGUUCUCCAAGUGUAGAGUCAAACAAAAGCGAGGAAAUGCCUACUAUAUACUGGAAUCUCCACAAGGCAAAGAAAUCGGAACAUAUGCUAAAGACGUACGUAGCUAAUUACAGCUAAUCAUUCCUCGCCAGGUUCGUCAGAUUACCUGGUGGGUGUAAUGUACCAACCUUAAGAUCUUUAAAGAAAAUUUUCGAAAAGUAACUGAUAAUAAAGCCAGCACUCGUACUUAUCCGAGUUAUUUACCGGAGUAUGUAACCCCAUGUAAUCACAAGCAAAAUUGCCUUAAUAAAGACGUCAUUCUGUUUCGAGAACUCUAAGUGAAAGGUUGGCUUCAAAAACGUAGUCCAACUUUAAUUUCUGGCCAUACCACGUGCAUUCGAAAG